This is a long non-coding RNA of Acinonyx jubatus (cheetah), 5969 nucleotides long. RefSeq lists it as uncharacterized. Lineage: Eukaryota; Metazoa; Chordata; Mammalia; Carnivora; Felidae. The transcript has 6 exons. The record is from RefSeq and is a predicted model, not a curated record.
AACCGAGGGGCGGCAAGGACACUUGCUGCCCGUAGGGUGGUCGCGGCAGUACCGUGCACCCGAAGGUGCUGAGCGACACGUAACGCCGCUCUUCGCGGGCCCUCGGCGCGCGCACACAAGUGUUCCGGGGGGCCGAACGCUGGCCCUCCAAACCGCCGCAGGUGCCAGCCGCCGCGGGGCAGGAAGCCGGGCUCCCCGACGCGAACGCGGACGGCGGGCACGCCCUCUCUCCUGGAGCCACUUCCACCAGUGGAGCGGGUGCGCGCGACAGACACGCACGUGGGAGAGCGGGGCGCAGCGGGGACCCCGCGCUCGGCGGGACGCACGCGCGGCGCCCGGGACCCCGGACACCCCGCCCGACGCGCGGCCGGUUACCUUCUUCGUAGCCCCACUCCACCCCCUCCUCCUCUUCCUCUUCAUCCUCCUCCUUCUCCGGGAAGGCGACGGAAUCUUCGAUGAAGCUCAGCACUGCUCUGAGUUUAGGCAUUCCAUCCAACAUCACUAGAUUGCAGAUUCUCUCGGAUGGAAGAGUAGAAAAAUAACGAAAGUUGCCCCUGACUCAAAAUCUUCCUUGAAAAAUGAUGGCAAGAAAACUGACUCAUUUGACCUUUCGAACUCCAGACAUACUCCACCGCGGUGCAUCCCUUCGGCUCGGGUGCCACUGCAGUGGACACGUGCCUUAGCAGUGACACCAUGAUGGGGCGCGCCGGUGCCUCCGCUACCAGCAAGGAUGGGUCCCCGGUGCCAGCCAAGAUCUGAUCCGACUCUAGUGUCCCACUCUAACACUGUUGGCUGUUGCCUCAGAUUUAUCAUGCAGCUCCAUAGGCCCAAGAGAUGCAAUAAUGUAACAGACAAGAUCUUUUAAGGAAAUUUUAUCCAACAUUCUUAAUUGGAAGGCAUUUGAGAGGAGCACAGAGAAACCAAGUGCCCAGGUUUCCUGAUACCAGUUCUGCAAAUCCUCGCUACACUACGCACCAAGAGACCUGCCGUCUUCAUAAAGUUGAUGUCUUCCGCAAAAAACAAAACAACACAAAACAAGAAGCCGGCACAGAGUAUGUUCUGUGUAUCUAUGACAGAACGCCGAAGCACCCUCUAUUUGGGCAGGCUGACCUCUUCGUGGCGAAUACAGUGUGGGGAGGAUGGAGAUAAUAGCCGGUUAGAACAGACCGCGCAGCCAGAUCAGGCACAUACCCAGGCCAGCUGUCCAGGCCUUGCCGACAACCUUCUAUAGCCUCACCUCUAAAUAAACAUGUAACAAAUAUCUCAUGGAUAUCCAUUUGAAAGGUCAGCAAAUGAUUAGCCUGCCCAGAGGGCCCACAUGUUUCCAUCCAGCCCUGCGUGAUUUGAGACCAUUUCCUGCACCAGGGUGCCAAAAGAGAAAUGGGAUGCAGUUUCAACUAGCCAUUUGAGAAAUUCUAAUCAAACCUUCCAGAGGCUUUAACCAAAUAAACCAAUCCAAUGUGUAUUUUAAAAAUGGUCUGAGAAUGUAAAGGGCAAGGAAAGGGAAUGGGAGACAGAACAGAGUAGGGAUAUAAACAUAACAUAGAACAGCCGGAUAAGAAAUGGAAGUUUUAAUCAAGUAACUGCUGUUUUGUACAACUGGUUUGGUUAGCAUUUACUAACAGAUGAGACUUGCCUUUGCUGAAUUGAUGUGAAUAGACUGUUUCCUUCUUGGUCGGGCAGACGUGAUAUGCAGAGGAAGCAAAGUCGUAAUUUACUUGUAAGAGGAGUUACAUCAGCAUCGUGAUGGCAAAAGAUGUCCCUCAUUUUUGUCGCCCCGACAGCGAAAGUUCAGCAUCCAUGGGCAAGGGUGUGUUUGCGGUAACUGUGGCAUCCAACACCACCUGCUAAGGGAUCCAGGACGAGUCUCACCUAUCAAUUCAUCAGGCAAUAGGCAGACGGACCUUGGUGCUAGCUGUGGAUCUUGUAAUGGCACCUUAACUGGCUUCAGCCCGUCUUAGCUGUGGUCCAGAAGCUCCUGGAGAACACUGACUUAGGCAAUUGCCUGUGCACGAGAGAGCCUUUGGGGAAGUCCACGAUUACAGAGAAGAAGUGCCAGCACACUGCUGCAGCAAACAACCAGUUUGGCCGCCUUCGAGAUGGCAGUCAAGACUGGAGGAGAUGACGCGAGGAUAGCCACGCAGAAGUUCAAGGAACAGGAACAAUCAAGGUCACGUAACACCACCAGAAGCUCGUAAUAAGCUUCCUGUACGCAAACUGAACACAUGAGGAUCUGCAGUUUACCAGACAAAUAAAUCAAAAUAGCAGCUCUAAGGAAAUUCAGUAAGCUAUAAGAAAACAAAGCCAAAUGGGUACAGAAACUGUGACACAGAGUGGAGGUUCCUCAAAAAUGUUUAAUGUAGAACUACUAUAUGAUUCUUCAAUCCCAUUUCUGUGUAUGGAUCCAAAGGAAAUGAAAACAAGAUCUUGACAAAAUAUCUUCACUUCCAUGUCAGUUCAGCACUAUGCACGGUAGCCAGGAUAUGGAACAACCUAAGUGUCCGUCAACAGACGAAUGGAUAAAGAAGAUACGAUGUGUCGCAUUAUUACGUUGUGCUGUAAUGAAAUAUAUAACGGGAUAUUAUUCGGCCACAGGAAGGAAGGAAAUCCUGCCAUUUGCGACCAUAUGGAUGGACCUUGAGGGCAUGAGGCUAAAUAAGAUAAAUCAGAGAAAGACAAAGCCUGUACGGUAUCACUUCUAUGUGGAACCUAAAACUACUGAACUCAUAGAAACAGAGAGUAGAAGGGUGGUUACCAGUGGCUGAGCAGUGGGGGAAAUGGAGAAAUGUUGGUCAAAGGGUACAAACUUCCAGCUAUACGAUGAUGUCCACGCAUCAGGAAUGGGGCAGGACGUGUUGGACAUGCCUUUCCUCCGCAAUGCCUGCGGCCUCAGGUGGAACACUCAAAGUCUGGGGGCAGAAAUCACCGGAAGAUUUACUCACAUACAUCUAGUGGUUGAGUCUGGCCUUGGGUCACAGAUCUGGCCAGUCCCAGGCUUCCUUACAUCAUAGCUCUGGAUUCUGAGGAUAGGAUUUGGAAUUGAAUCCCAGUAUUAUUUUCAAGGGACAUCGUGUGAAUACUGAUGCAUCUAAAUCCCAGGUAACAAUAAGUUACAGUUAAUGGGUUUGUACUACAUCAAAUGCAUACUUACUACAGGUACCUGCAGAGAAUUCCUGACAAAUGCCAACUAUAAAAGAAAUGUUAACUGCGCAUUUAACAGAUGGAAUUUUAGAGACAAUGUAUUACUAAUACCCCGCUGAUACGCUUUAUUUCCUCAAAUAACACGCAACAGUUUCCAUCAUUUAAAUAAUAAUGACUCAUGAGAAUUCUUCCACUAUUAGAGUCAGAAGAUUGCAGGAAGCCCGAAAGGAUACUGAAUGACCACCGCGUUCCUCCACUUUUCAGGCAGCUUGUCACUUGAUGGACUAGUAUCAGUUGCUUUCCAGAACAUCCCAAAGGUGAGACUCCUACAGAGUCAUUGCUUUAGCUCUGUUGUCAUUCGAGGAAAUAGUCUGGUGCCCCUUCAUAGAGAACGCCUGGCUUUCCUGAGUUCCCAGCAAUGCGGACAACCCAUGUUCAAAUUCAUAAGAGAAACUCCUCAGACUUUGAACACUCUAGACUCUGUGUCAGCAGUAACUGGGCAAGACCACAUCACCAGAGGCUUAGGAGUCAAAGGAGCAAAAAUGAAACCAUAAUCAUUAAAUACUAAUGACAACUUAAUUACUUUCUCAGAGAAACAGAACCAUUUGAGACCAUCGGAAAGCAGAAAGUGAGAUAAUAAUUCAGCAAGAGCUUUCAUUGCUGUUCGAUGCUAAGAGUAUCUCGUGGAUGUGCCCAGCCUCUGCCCAUUGUCCUCUAAAGUUAAUAUAUGCCUUUCCAGGACCUCGGGGACUCAUUUACAAAUAAUUACAAAUAAACAGAUUUCCUUUCUGAAUAGCUGGACUUCUGACACUACUUAGAGAACAUGUGUAUGACCCACACAUCAGAUUGCUAGGAUUUUAAGGACUCUUAGCCACUUAUAUAACACACGAUAAGAAGUUGGCAAAUUGAUUUACAAAAAAUGAAAGCUCGAGGUAGGACUGGCCACAUAUUGGGGAAUGCUGUGGUCAGUGCAUUUGGCCAACAUCAGUCCUGCAACGCAGGGCCAGAAGUACAUCCCUCUUAGCCCUUGGGAAAAUGGAGUUGCCUGUGGCUCUGAUUCAUGGUUCCUAUACAUCACCAGAGCUGGGCCUAUAUCCUGUAGUUAAGGCUUCAAAGGAAAACGCAAGUCUUCCGUCAGGGAGAACUGAUUGUGGAGCUCAAGCUCUUAUUUGGAGAAAAAUCUGUGCCUGUUCUGAUAUGGGUAGUCUGUCAGACUUCAUGGACUAGUAUCUGAGUCCCAGGGACAAGGGGCUGAAAGCAGAAAAGACCAAGGGUAGUGUGACUCCCAAGUCUCCAUGGGGUUCUGGGGGCAUUCUUGUGGGCCCAUCCUGACAAGUGUAGAGCUAGGUGUGUGAGCUGGGGUGGGACUCAGGGCAUCCAGGCAGGGGCACAGGGUGACUCCAAGGAAGUACCCAGGGAACCAAGCCCAUAGCAGCGUGACUAAGGAUGCCUCCCUCAGCUUUCAGGUGGGGAGGUCUGGGUCUUAGAUUCCCAUAGAGGUGGCCGGUAUAGGGACAAACCUAGGAAAUACUGUUCCCGCCACCAGGGCAGGUAAAGAAAACUCUCAGGCAUGUUGAGUCCAACUCUUCUUGAGAAGAACCACAACCGGGAAGGAGAGGUGGUGCUUGGUGCAGAGGCAGGAAAGACAUCUUUGUGCUUUGGCUACUGUUAGUGUUUGUGUGGGAUCCCAAAGUGUUGUCAGUAGGGGCAAAAAUAGCCAUGAGGUCCCAGAACCUCCUAUAAAAAAAGGUAGGGGAAAUAAAGGAGCGGGGGAAGACAGUAACGAGUUGACCUAAGUGAGCAUCACCGUCAGUGAAAGUGAGGUUGAGCACUGUUAGCAGAAAUAAGUCAAAAUUGAGGACUACCUUCCCUGGCAUGCAACCUCUAGCCUUCUCCGUUCUAGAAUGGUUUUUAAGCCAGAUACUAAAAAUUCUGUGUUCUGUUCUCAUGGCGUGUCUUCUCUCCUCCAGUGCCGGACCGCCUCCCACCUCCCCUGCCUUGGCCCAUGUCCGACACGGGGGAAGAUUCACACCGUCCUCUACCACAUUUUCUUUCAUGGCCCCUCUCAGACGUGAAACAAUCUGAUGGGCUGAUUCCCACAGCAAAUCUGUUACCUCAGACCCACCUGAUCGUUAACAAAAGACUCCUGAAAAGACACAACCUUCGUUCUCAGGGAUAAGUUUAAAUCCUGGCGUUUCAGUCAUCAAUCAUAGCAGAUUGGUGAAGACAGGGUUUCCCUCAAAAUUCAUCAUGAAUUACUUCAUUUGCAACCUAACUUUUGUCUCUUUAGGCCACUCCAAUUUGGGGCUUAAAAUAAAUCUGUGCAAACAGCAAUUAUGUGUAAACCCCUGACUCCUUUUCCCACCUACAAUUUCAGCACCUCCCACUGGAAAGCUCCACCUCCAGUUAUUUCUAGAAAGUUUUCUAUUGAGGAGGGAGGCUGGUUCUUACGUUAUCUGCUGUCACCCAGCACCUGCGAUUUUAUUGUCCUUCUACUCCUGUCCCUUUUUGUGAGGGUCACAGUCUGCUCCCUGCCAAGCUGUUUAAGGCCCAACCACUGCCAUGAACGGUGGAGUCACCUCCUGCCACUGAGAUUGCACCCUGUGCACAUUUCCAUUAGCUCUAACCCCCUAAAAAGAGGCAGCUGGUGGCUUCAUCCCUUAAGCCUCCGACUUCAGCUCACGUCCUGACUCCCAGUUCGUGGGUUUGAGCCCUGCAGCGGCUCUGUACUGACCGCUCAGAGCCUGGAGCCUGCUUCAGGUUCUGUGUCUCCCUCUCUCUCUGCCCCUCCCCUGCACGUGCUCUGUCUCUCUUUCUCUCUCUCUCUC